Molecule: long non-coding RNA, 1128 nt
Organism: Hippopotamus amphibius kiboko
Lineage: Eukaryota; Metazoa; Chordata; Mammalia; Artiodactyla; Hippopotamidae
Exons: 5
Source: RefSeq, a predicted model, not a curated record
AAGAACUUAACCCGUGAUUGCUGGGGCUGGCUCUCGCUCCUCCAGGGGCCGUCGUUCUUUUACAAAGAGGGGUGGAGGUUGUUGUUGCUUUUUUUUUUUCUUUAUGAAUGGAGGGCGGCGGCGACUGCUGCAGCUGGCUCAGCUGCGCGGGUUGUACCCCCUCCCAGCCUGCGAGAGGAGGAAGCUAGUGGAGGACCUGCACCAACAAAACCAAGGAGUAAAUCAAGAGAGUAGAUACCAUGGAAAUAACUGCGUAGAGCUCAGACUGAGGAAGAAGGAAGCAGAAUUAAAGAAAGAAAAAAGAGAAGAAAGAAAGAAAGAAAAAAAGAAAGAGGCCCAGAUGAAUGGAAGGAAGGAAUUUCAUCUGUCUUGACCUGUCUGUACAGCAGCCAACACAAGGGCAUAUAUAAGGAAACUGUGAAUCAAAGACGUCAAAUGACUUGUUCAAGGUCACACAGCUAUGAUGGGACAAGACUUUUAUUAGGUGGCUGUUACUGGAAGCCCUCAGCAGUCCAAGACACUUACAUGGCCCACCUCAUUCCUAGGUGCAAGGCAGGGGAAGUCCUUAGAGGUCAGACAGAGGUCAAGGUGCCAAGUGCUUGAAGGGUAUAUGCUCAGCACUCCUGAAGUGAGCGGAGGUUCUAAGACAGAUUUAUCCCCAAAGGAUGCCUCUAGGCUCCUGGGUCCGUGGCCAUCUGUACAGCAGAGCUCACAGGCCUAGCUACCUCUCUCUCUCUGUGGGGAGGUGUCCCUGCUUUGGCAGGCCGACUCAGGAGGUCUCUCAGUAGGACAGAGGCCACCGAGGCCUGCUGAAUGGAGCUGUGCAGUUUAGAAAUAUUUGCUUUAGGCUGCACGAGCCAAGGAGAGCCUGAAGGGGCAGAGCAAGGAGGCAGGGCUGGGGGAUGCCAUUUGCUUUCAGAGAGUUGCGAGCCCCAGGGCCUAGGUUUUUCAGGUCCCACCACCAAGAAGCUUCAAGGACUCUCCCAGCCCGUCUGUUCAUUUGGAAGCAAGCAUCAGAAUAACACGGGCUCCCUCACGAGGUCGGGCGGACAGGUUUCAUUGCUGCUCCAGCGACAUCUGCCUUUUUGAGGGGGGGAAGAAAAAGGAUCCCUAACAGAUGGAGACAGA